UUCACAGGUACUUGAGUGGAUUUCUCCCAGGGGUGUGAAAAAGUAUAAUAGUCCAAUAUUCAGUCUUCAAUAUGACAUCCAUCCACCCCCACAAGGUCUCAGCCCUGAGGCCUCGAAGGAGGGGGAAAGUGGAAAUGGCCUGAGGGGUGUCAAGAGGGACUGACGGAAACAUGGAUUUUCCUUUAACAGAGUGUCCUUCAAUUGUGGCAAAAAAGGGGGUUCGUUUUUAUCCCAUAUAACAUCCUCUGCAACCUCCAAGGUAAUCAGUCGACCUCUUUGCAAAUUGACAACAGGUGUGCACCAGAAUUGCACGGAUUCAAUGAAGGGAUUCCACGAUGCACUCUGUAUAAAUGAAUUUCCAACCGGAAGUCCCGCCCCUUUCAUCCCCUCUCCGGCAGACUGACGCUCUGUCCGCUGACACGGCAUCAUG
This is a long non-coding RNA of Notolabrus celidotus (New Zealand spotty), 430 nucleotides long. RefSeq lists it as uncharacterized. The transcript has 5 exons. NCBI's taxonomy places the organism in Eukaryota, Metazoa, Chordata, Actinopteri, Labriformes, Labridae. The record is from RefSeq and is a predicted model, not a curated record.